UUUUUUUUUUUUUUUGGUCUUUUUAGGGCUGCACAUGUGGCAUAUGGAGGUUCCCAUGCUAGGGGUCAAAGUGGAGCUGCAGCUGCCAGUCUACACCACAGCUGCAGCAACACCAGAUCCAAGCUGGCUCUGCGACCUACACCACAGCUCACGGCAACACCAGAUCCUUAACCCACUGAGCGAGGAGAAAAGAUGCAGGCACACGGAGGAGGAGCCCACGUGACGAUGGAGGGAUUAGGGUGAUGCAACCGAAAGUCAAGCAAAGCCUGGAGCCACCAGAUGCUGGGACAGGCAAGGAACAGAUUCCCCCCUCAAACCUUUGGAGGGGGCACAGCCCUGCCCACACCUCAAUUUCAGCCCAGAGAUACUGACUCCAGUUUUCUGGCCUUGGGAACUGGAAGAGAAUGAAUGUGCAUUGUUUUAAGCCACCAAAUUUCGGGUAAUUUGAGACAGCAACCACAGGAAACACAUACAAUGGACGUGAACUGAUCUAAUUAGUAUCAAAUAAUUGUUUGAACAGAUGCAAUUAUCAUCUCCCCCCCAAGGAGUGGUAACGGCCGAUAAGUACAUAUAAAGAUGCUCGACCUCAUGACUCGGCAGAGAAAGACAAAUGAAAACCACAGUAAGACAUCACUACAUACUCACCGGAAUAGUUACAAUUAAAAAGAAAGAGAAUAAAGAAAAGACUGUCAGUAUGGGGCACUGCAGGGAGGUGGAGCUGCUGGAACUUUCAUACGGGGUGGGAGGGAGCAGGAGGGAGCAGGAGGAGGAUAGUACAUGGAAAACUCACUUAAAAAAAAAAAAAAUCAGGAGUUCCCACCGUGGCGCAACGGGAUCUGCAGCAUCUGGGAAGCACUGGGACACAGGUUCAAUCCCCGCGGCCCAGGCACAGUGGGUAAAGGCUCCAGUGUUGCCGAAGCUGUGGCUUAGGUGGCAACUGUGGCUUGGAUCUGAUCCCCUGGCCCAAGAACUCCAUAUGCUGCGGGGCAGCCCCAAAAGAAUAAUAAUAAUAUAUUUUUAAAAAGCAGCAUUGACUCUUAAGGGUAAACAUACACCCGUCCUAUGCCCCAGCAAUCCCCUUCCUGAAUAUUCCCAAGGGAAAUGAGUGUGAUGCCCACCAAAGCCUGGUGCCAGUGUGGUCCUAGCAGCCUC
RNAcentral lists this long non-coding RNA (1152 nucleotides) under Sus scrofa (pig). RNAcentral's name for it is "lncRNA (ENSSSCG00040056723.1)". The record is from RNAcentral. Lineage: Eukaryota; Metazoa; Chordata; Mammalia; Artiodactyla; Suidae.